AGUGAACGCUGGCGGUAGGCCUAACACAUGCAAGUCGAACGGCAGCACAGUAAGAGCUUGCUCUUACGGGUGGCGAGUGGCAGACGGGUGAGGAAUACAUCGGAAUCUACUUUUUCGUGGGGGAUAACGUAGGGAAACUUACGCUAAUACCGCAUACGACCUACGGGUGAAAGCAGGGGAUCUUCGGACCUUGCGCGAUUGAAUGAGCCGAUGUCGGAUUAGCUAGUUGGCGGGGUAAAGGCCCACCAAGGCGACGAUCCGUAGCUGGUCUGAGAGGAUGAUCAGCCACACUGGAACUGAGACACGGUCCAGACUCCUACGGGAGGCAGCAGUGGGGAAUAUUGGACAAUGGGCGCAAGCCUGAUCCAGCCACACCGCGUGGGUGAAGAAGGCCUUCGGGUUGUAAAGCCCUUUUGUUGGGAAAGAAAAGCAGCAGGUUAAUACCCCGCUGUUCUGACGGUACCCAAAGAAUAAGCACCGGCUAACUUCGUG
This 492-nucleotide ribosomal RNA is filed under the name uncultured bacterium. RNAcentral's name for it is "partial 16S ribosomal RNA". It matches the Rfam family "Bacterial small subunit ribosomal RNA", at positions 29 to 507 of the family's 1533-position model. The record is from RNAcentral.